This 30-nucleotide small RNA is filed under the name Bombyx mori (domestic silkworm). RNAcentral describes it as "ovarian small RNA-20208". The record is from RNAcentral. Lineage: Eukaryota; Metazoa; Arthropoda; Insecta; Lepidoptera; Bombycidae.
UACACGACUCUGCCCGUCCGCCACAGGGAC